ACUUCUUAGAGUUAGGCGGGGAACUAAACAUGCUGAAAACACACUACUUAUUUAUUUAGGCCCAAUUAAAAUGUCUAAUAAAUUCAUUUUAAUUAAAUACUUAUUGUUAAUUAAAGAUCACCUUUUAUUUUUAAAAUUUGUUACAAUUCAAACCUUGGCCUUGGGGUUUAGAUGCUGAUGGAAUAAAUAAGAAACAAAAUCAUAUGUAAAAAAUAACUAAAAAUCCUUUUCAAAACCUCAAUUACUAUUGAAUUAUGAUUGGGCGUGGUAUACAAAAUAAUGCGAAUUGGAGGAAAUGGAGAAACAUAGUAAUAACAAUUAGAUCAGCUUUUAUGAUAGCGAGCAUAUUAAAAAUUUAAAAUUGGUUAUAAAAUUGAAAGGUUUUCGGGUUUUCACCACAAGAGCAAAUUAUACAACUUUAUUCUUGAAAAUGUUAGAGACUGAGACUUGGAGUCAAAGUCAACAGACACGCUUGCAUGGACAUGAAGGAUGUAAAGAACUAGAGUAUUAUAACUGAAAGCAUUUUGUCUGGAUUUGUGUAUGGAAACAGAAGGAUUUAGUAUUGGUAUCCUGAAUUUUUGUCAACUUCUAGCCAAGAUCCUGUACUUAAGCUGAAUGUGGAGGACAGAUGUACACACAGUACUAGUAUAGAGGGUAAGUAGACCAUAAAAAAAAACAAGAUGUGUUUGUGAAACACUAUGCGCCCGGCGGCAACAAAGUUUGGAAAAAGCUAUUUUUAGCAUUAAGGUCACAGUCAAGGUCACAAAGUCAUUGACCUUGGUGUCAUUUGAAAGAGGUUGAUUAGUGGAGUAUGGAGUGGACUCCAUGCCACUAAACU
Saccostrea cuccullata (small rock oyster) is the source of this 838-nucleotide long non-coding RNA. RefSeq lists it as uncharacterized. The transcript is spliced from 3 exons. The record is from RefSeq and is a predicted model, not a curated record. Lineage: Eukaryota; Metazoa; Mollusca; Bivalvia; Ostreida; Ostreidae.